GGAAAACACGACGACCGAGAGCCCAAACACCGUAAACAUGGCGCUGCGGACGGUCAUUUAGGCGAACAAUAGACGGUGACUCACCGACCGAGCCCGAACCCAGCAGAAAAUACCAGAUCCACAUCCUGAGGCGGCCGAUCCGGUCCGCCCUGUGCCGAGGCUGGAGCGGGGUUUCCUGGCGGAGUGUCCGGGUGUGGAGCUCCGAGAGGCGGCUUGAUUCUGCUGUCGGACAGCCCGAGGAGGAGCAGCGGCGGGAGGAGGUCAGAAACACUGAUCUGGGGCAGAAAAGGCGGAGACAUUUCAGCUUUACACACAAACAUCUCCGGGCUUUACUGCUGGAGACUGCUCUGGAGAGAGCUGCGUUCAGGGUGUGUGUCCGACGUGUGCGUCUCCUCUGUCUUCAACAGCUGACGGAGCGUCAGGAUUCCUCCUCUGAUCCGCAACUCUGAAAAACACAAACAUCAUCAUCAUCAUCAUCAUCAUCAAACACACACACACAUCAGCAGAGUUUCACAGGACACACUCACCUGAGCCGCACAUCAGGAUCCUGAAACACAGAGCGGAGAGCAGGAGUUAAGAGACGUUCACACUGAUCAUAUCUGUGUCCACACUAAUCAUCUGCUGUUCACGCUUCUCUACUUGCAGUACCCUCUCGUAACCAGCAGGGGUGUGCCCUGUCUUUGUGCUGUGUGUGUGUGUGUGUUUGUAUGUGUUUCUGACCGCUCGUCCUCCUGCAUCCUCCUCUCUGCGGGCCAGCAGUGGAGCCAGCAGCGCUGCAGGGGCUCCUCCGUCCUCCUCCACCUGCUCCAUCUGCUGGAGUGUGUGUGUGAUAGAGUCCAUCUCCUCCUGCAGCGUCUGUGUGUGCGCGCUGAUCUCCGAGAUCUUCUCCGCAGCCUGAGCGGUCAGGAAGGCCUCCUUCAGGUCCACCAGAUGCAGCACGCGCCACUCCUCCAGACGCACCAGGCGCUGCAGCUCGUCAAACUGCUGGUUCACGUACGCCUCCAGCUCCUCCAUGCUCAUCUACACACACACACACACACACAUAUAUAUGAAAGUGUGUGAUUUAGGUGUGUUACUCCUCACACUGUUGAUCAGCUGUAACACACUCACAUCUGGACUGGCCCAUUUAGCCUUGAUCCUCUCCGAGAUUUCAUGAGUCUGUUCCAGCAGAUCAAUGCCUUCUUUACUCUGAAACACACACACACACACACACACACACACACACACACACACACACACACACACACACACACACACACACACACACACACAGAUGAGUGAGCAUUCCAUCUGAUUACACUUGAUAAUAUGUGUUUACACACGUGUGUUGUUUCUGUGUGUGUGUGUGUGUGUGUGUGUGUGAGACCUUCUGCCACAGGUAUGCCUCUCUCAGUGUGAUGAUCUGGUGUCCUCGGUGUUCCCCCUGCACGGCACACAGCACACAGAUGAUGCGCUGGUCGUGUUUGCAGUAUAGCGCCCCCUCCUGGCCGUGAUCUCUGCACUUCAGCCGCUCCACGCUCACAGUCUCCCUGCGCCCGUCCGGCGGGAGCGCUGCAGCCUGCGGCUCAGCGGAGUGUGUGUCUGCCUCUGCGCUGCUGUAGGGCUGCAGUGUGUGUGCGGUGCUUUGUGUGUGUGCGUCUGCGUGGCUGGAGCAGAAGGCGAAGCGGCAGCGCACACACAUCCACAGCGCAGACUCCGCCUCGUCCGGCUCGCAGGCGUCACACGUGCCGUCCAUCUGCGGCAGAUCCUCCUCCAACAUACACACGUCCAUACUGCAGCUCGGAGACUCUGAACACAGCAUCACAACACACAUCAUACACACUCGCAGAGUACUACAUGCACUACAGUGAUUUUAUAUAGGGAAAUCGAACUAAAUGCACUGAAGUGAUUAUAUACACUCACCGGCCACUUUAUUAGGUACACCUGUUCAACUGCUCAUUAACACUAAUGUCUAAUCAGCCAAUCACAGGGCAGUAGCUCACUGCAUUUCGGCAUGUAGACAUGGUCAAGAGGAUCUGCUGCAGUUAAAGCGAGCAUCAGAAUGGGGAAGAAAGGGGAUUUAAGAGACUCUGAACGUGGCAUGGUUGUUGCUGCCAGACGGGCUGCUCUGAGUAUUUCAGAAACUGCUGAUCUACUGGGAUUUUCACGCACAACCAUCUCUAGGGUUUACAGAGAACGCUCCGACAAAGAGGAAAUAUCCAGUGAGCGGCAGUUCUGUGGGCGCAAAUGCCUUGUUGAUGAGGUCAGAGGUCAGAGGAGAAUGGCCAGACUGGUUCCAGCUGAUAGAAAGGCGACAGUAACUCAAAUAAGCACUCGCUACAACCGAGCUCUGCAGAAGAGCAUCUCUGAACACACAACAUAAAGCUCAAUCAUCUCAGACUGGUUUCUUGAACAUGAUGAUGAGUUCACUGUACUCAAAUGGCCUCCACAGUCACCAGAGCUCAAUCCAAUAGAGCAGCUUUGGGAUGUGGUGGAACGGGAGAUUGGCAUCAUGGAUGUGCAGCCGACAAAUCUGCAGCAACUGCAUGUCAACAUGGAGCAAAAUCUUUGAGGAAUAUUUCCAGUAGCUUGACGAAUCCACAACACCAAGGAUUAAGGCAUUGCUGAAGGCAAAAGAGGUCCGACCCGGUACUAGUAAGGUGUACCUAAUAAAGUGGCCGGUGAGUGUAUAUGCACAGAAAACUAAUGAAACGUCCAAUUGAUGUGAGUUUUUUUGAUGUGUGCACUGACUAAUCUAAUAUAUCUGCACAGUUAUAUUACUGUAUAACAAAUAUGAAUGUAAAAGAGAAAUCUGAGAGGGGUCAACUUAAUUUUGAUGAACACUGUGACUUUGUAUGAGUAUAAAACAAAUUAAAUGCACAAAAGGGAUUUGCUAUGCAUAGAAAUAUAAUUAAAUUAUGUACAAAAGUGAUUUAAUAUAAAUGCGCAUGUAAAAAUAAUGCACAAAAGAAGUUAUUGUAUGUGUAUAGAAAACAAGUUAAAUAUACAAGUGAUUUUAUAUGCAUAAAAACAAUUCAAAUUGACAAAAAAAAGUGAUUGUAUAUGCAUGGAAAUAAAAUAAAGUGCACUAAAAGGGA
Molecule: long non-coding RNA, 3077 nt
Organism: Danio rerio (zebrafish)
Lineage: Eukaryota; Metazoa; Chordata; Actinopteri; Cypriniformes; Danionidae
Source: Ensembl